RNAcentral lists this ribosomal RNA (493 nucleotides) under uncultured bacterium. RNAcentral describes it as "bacterial SSU rRNA". It matches the Rfam family "Bacterial small subunit ribosomal RNA", at positions 19 to 518 of the family's 1533-position model. The record is from RNAcentral.
CUGGCUCAGGAUGAACGCUGGCGGCGUGCUUAACACAUGCAAGUCGAACGGAGUUUUAACGGAAGUUUCGGAUGGAAGUUAGAACUAGUGGCGGACGGGUGAGUAACGCGUGGGUAACCUGCCUCAUACAGGGGGAUAACAGUUAGAAAUGACUGCUAACACCGCAUAAUAUAGCGAAACCGCAUGAUUUUGCUAUCAAAUAUUUAUAGGUAUGAGAUGGGCCCGCGUCUGAUUAGCUAGUUGGUGGGGUAAAGCCUACCAAGGCGACGAUCAGUAGCCGGCUUGAGAGAGUGACCGGCCACAUUGGGACUGAGACACGGCCCAAACUCCUACGGGAGGCAGCAGUGGGGAAUAUUGGACAAUGGGGGAAACCCUGAUCCAGCGAACCGCCGCGUGAGUGAAGAAGUAUUUCGGUAUGUAAAGCUCUAUCAGCAGGGAAGAUAAUGACAGUACCUGACUAAGAAGCCCCGGCUAACUACGUGCCAGCAGCCGC